GAUGAACGCUGGCGGCGUGCCUAAUACAUGCAAGUCGAGCGAACAGAUAAGGAGCUUGCUCCUUUGACGUUAGCGGCGGACGGGUGAGUAACACGUGGGUAACCUACCUAUAAGACUGGGAUAACUUCGGGAAACCGGAGCUAAUACCGGAUAACAUUUGGAACCGCAUGGUUCUAAAGUGAAAGAUGGUUUUGCUAUCUCUUAUAGAUGGACCCGCGCCGUAUUAGCUAGUUGGUAGGGUAACGGCUUACCAAGGCAACGAUACGUAGCCGACCUGAGAGGGUGAUCGGCCACACUGGAACUGAGACACGGUCCAGACUCCUACGGGAGGCAGCAGUAGGGAAUCUUCCGCAAUGGGCGAAAGCCUGACGGAGCAACGCCGCGUGAGUGAUGAAGGGUUUCGGCUCGUAAAACUCUGUUAUUAGGGAAGAACAAACGUGUAAGUAACUGUGCACGUCUUGACGGUACCUAAUCAGAAAGCCACGGCUAACUACGUG
RNAcentral lists this ribosomal RNA (497 nucleotides) under uncultured bacterium. RNAcentral describes it as "partial 16S ribosomal RNA". It matches the Rfam family "Bacterial small subunit ribosomal RNA", at positions 28 to 507 of the family's 1533-position model. The record is from RNAcentral.